Lemur catta (Ring-tailed lemur) is the source of this 2088-nucleotide long non-coding RNA. RefSeq lists it as uncharacterized. The record is from RefSeq and is a predicted model, not a curated record. The transcript has 5 exons. NCBI's taxonomy places the organism in Eukaryota, Metazoa, Chordata, Mammalia, Primates, Lemuridae.
UCCUGAAUGCUGCUCAGCUGCUGCUCCAAGGUGCUCCUGCGCUCCUUCUCACCUUGCAAGCUCUUAUUUGUCUUCUCCCUGUCUGACUGACAGGCCCGCAACUGCUCUUCCGCAGCCUGGUGAACCCUCUGUUCUGCCUGUAGUGCUUCCUGACUCUGUGCCAGCUCUCUCCUGGACCCCUGCAGGUCCUCUUCCCUCUGCCCCAGCUGAGUUAUCUUUAGGCGGAGCUGCUGCCUCAGGCUGCUGUUAGUGGCUUCCAGAACCCUGUUCAUCUGCUGGAGCUGCUGAGACGCCUGCAGAUCUGUUUGGCCACAAAGAGAGAUUUGGAGGGCAUCUUCUCCAGCUGUGCCCUGUUGUCCUGAGACUGCAGCAUCGGCCCUUUUCCUGCUUCUUGCAACCUUUUGCAUAACAGGCCGAAAUAUAAGAUCCGACUGUCUGAAGCUUAAGGAGGCAGGUGGCGGCCACUCCUAACAGCAGGAAGGUGAGGAGCAGGCAGAGCAGGAGGUAAUGCCAGCAGGGUGCGCGGCCUUGGGGGACAGUGGGAUGGACAAGGGGCAGUCAGCCCCAGGGAAGAAUGUAUAGACCAGCGGAUGGGUGUGGGGGGGGAGAUUUCCUGGGUAAGCAUCCCUGAGAGGGUGCAGAGUUGAGGGGACAGGCACUGUGGGUGUUGCCGGGUAGUGGAGCGUUUUGCAGGUAGGGGAGGGAGGGUGUUCCAGAAUAAGAGCUGGGGAUUGUUACUGGUAAGGAGGAUUGAAGGGCGUCACCUGGGAACAGGGAGAACUAAAUCCCAGAAGGGGAGAGGGGAAGGGUGGGGAGGUAUGUGACUUGGGACAUCCCAAGCAGGGAGGUGAUCUGGGUGGGCAAGAUCUGCGCGGGGAUGGGGAAGGGCAGGGCAGCGGGGGCGCGGGCCCAUCCCCGGCGACAGCGCCCCCGUGGGGCCCAGGAGCUCUCCCCAUCCCAGCCAGCCCGGAGAGGCACCGGGCAGCCGGGACCAGACGCUACUCACAGGACAGAGCCAGCCUGGCAGCCGGUGACGUCACGGAGCGCCAGGCCGCAGCUGGUGGCUCCGCCUUGACCCCUGCGAAGGGAGCGGCCAGUUCCGAGACGGGAAGCCCCGGUGAUGCCCCUUCUCCGGCCCAGCCCCGCCACCCGGAAGCGCCAGUCCGCCCGGCUGCCCUGUGCAAGUGCGGGGACACGGCCGCUCUCCGCAGCUCUUCCUCUGCCCGGACCCUCCAGCUCCCUCCUGGGUCUCCCCCUGUCCUUUCCCGCCCCCUCCUCUCUCCCGGCUCUGCCUGCGUCCUACCCUCCAACUCGUCUCCCCACCGGGCUGCCCUGACCCCGCCCCGCCCUCGUCUCCCCCGUCUCCACCUGGCCCAGGGAACUUUCCUCUCCCCGCUCCCAUUUAUCCUGUUGUCCUUCUGCUCUUCCCUGAGAACCGCGGAGACACGGCCCCCCACAAACACACGGCCCCAGGCUCUCCAGACCUGCAUCUGGUCCAGAGGACACCAAGCCCGAGGGCCCCCCUGGGGCUGGGGUCACUUGCACGUUCUCGUAGGAUGUGACCCCUAAUAGGACCCCAAAAGGGCCUCCAUCCAGGGAUGGGAAGGAGCUGCGACAAGACAAGACCGUCUCAGAGCCCUCCUUCGUGCAUAGGAGAGUGAGAUCCUUCCUCUUCCCCGUGUGUGUCACAUGGGGUCUCUGCAAUUUUGACAUUCACACUACCUUUGAAGGCUGGACAUCGGAAAAGACACCUGUAACUCCACGCUGCACCUCUACUGCCCAAAUAUCAGGAACACUGGGAGGCUUUUUAAGAGCUGAGAGGGAGAACUUUUUCCAUCAUGGGAAGAAAGAGAUCUGACGUGGGAAGGACUCAACCUGCAGGUGCUGGCUUUGAAGGUGGAGGAAGAGGACGAGGAGCCAGGAAUCCAUGAGCCUCUAGAAGCUGGGAAAAGCAGGAAGCAGCUUCUCCCCUCCAGUCUCCAGAAAGGAACCCAGCCCUGCCAACAUCUUGAAUGGAAUCCAGCGAAACCUGUGUCAGAUGUCUGACCUCCAGAACUGGGAGAUAAUAAAUAGGUAUCGCUUAAGUCA